AUUGAACGCUGGCGGCAGGCCUAACACAUGCAAGUCGAGCGAUCGGCGGACGGGUGAGUAAUGUCUGGGAAACUGCCUGAUGGAGGGGGAUAACUACUGGAAACGGUAGCUAAUACCGCAUACCAUCGGCAGUGCCCAGCUGGGAUUAGGUAGUAGGUGGGGUAACGGCUCAACUAGGCGACGAUCCCUAGCUGGUCUGAGAGGAUGAACAGGCACACUGUAACUGAGACACGGUCCAGACUCCUGCGGAAGGCAGCAGUGGGGAAUAUUGGCCAAUGGGGGCAAGCCUGAUGCAGCCAAGCCGCGUGUAUGAAGCAGGCCUUAGGGUUGUAAAGUACUUUCAGCGGGGAGGCGUUGCCCGCAGAAGAAGCACCGGCUAACUCAGUGCCAGCAGCCGCUGUAAUUC
RNAcentral lists this ribosomal RNA (406 nucleotides) under uncultured bacterium. Its description in RNAcentral is "partial 16S ribosomal RNA". It matches the Rfam family "Bacterial small subunit ribosomal RNA", at positions 30 to 526 of the family's 1533-position model. The record is from RNAcentral.